Long non-coding RNA from Pollicipes pollicipes, 419 nucleotides. RefSeq lists it as uncharacterized. The record is from RefSeq and is a predicted model, not a curated record. Lineage: Eukaryota; Metazoa; Arthropoda; Thecostraca; Pollicipedomorpha; Pollicipedidae. The transcript has 4 exons.
GGCCAUCGGUCGGGCUCCGGUGCCGGGUGCAGCGGGGUGGCGACCGGCCGACGCUGGUUGCCCCUGCCACCUAUCGGUCGGAUGCAGAAGUACGGUGUCGUCUGCCGGCCGCCUUCCUGCAAACACUGCGCUAUUCGGAUCAGGUCGAGCCCUGGACCAUCCAGGUGUCUUACAACGGUAUGAACUGGAGCAAGUCGAUUGACCUGACCUUGUACAACGGCGCUUGCCUGCUCUGCCGCGCCGGACAGACCAACGUCACGUGCCGCGCGGCAGACGGCUGCUGCGUUAUCGCCGGUCGCUGUUACCGAUCCGGAGAUACGAACCCGAAGGACCCGUGCCUCUACUGCGGCUCCAGUCGGAGUCGGUGGACGGCCAGAGACGGUGCUGACUGCGCCGCCCCCAGCCCACCAGUCACGUGC